GUACUCAUUGUUUCUUUGUUUUGGAUUUUAUACCAAGGUUUAGUCUACAAGGGAGCAGCAGGAUAUAGGAGUAGUUGGUGAAGAAAAACCACCCUUUCUCAAGACAUUUUCAAUGAGCAGGUGUGGGGUAUGCUGCUGUCAUUCAGGAUUCUCGAGGCCAAGUUGUUAAAGCUACAUCGGCAGAAGUGAGGGGCUGGUUGAACCAUGAAUGGCCGAGUUGAUUGUCCCUCUUAGUUAAGGUCACUUCUAAAUCUAAUCAAUCGGAUUACUUAUUGGUGGUCGAAGCAUUACAAAAUUUAUGUUCUUUUAUUAUUGAAUUUGGUAUAACCCUUCAUGAUUGUUU
RNAcentral lists this long non-coding RNA (343 nucleotides) under Gossypium barbadense (sea-island cotton). RNAcentral describes it as "long non-coding RNA (GBAR_LNC021167)". Lineage: Eukaryota; Viridiplantae; Streptophyta; Magnoliopsida; Malvales; Malvaceae. The record is from RNAcentral.